RNAcentral lists this transfer RNA (51 nucleotides) under Rhopalomyia pomum. RNAcentral's name for it is "partial tRNA-Asn". The record is from RNAcentral. Lineage: Eukaryota; Metazoa; Arthropoda; Insecta; Diptera; Cecidomyiidae.
AUAAAUAAAACCAAAAAGAGGUAUAAUACUGUUAAUAUUAUUAGUGAAUAU